GCCGGGCUGGGGAGUAGUAGGCCAGCCGGUGCCAGGCUGCGUUUGCAACCAGCACCUCUCGACACACAGGCAGCGCCGCCCGAGAGGGGCACGGGAGCCGGGGCGCGGGCAGAAGCAGCCCGAGGAAAACAACAACAGAGCCAGCCCUCACGCCGGCGGGCGGCUCGUGGCCGCCCGGGGAGCCCCAAACUUCAUCUCGGCGAAAGUCACUAUCAUAUGACAAAGGCUUUGCUGCAGUUCAUCUUCCUCCCUGUGUACUUUCCAUUUGCCUUCCCGGAAUCCUGCUGCAUCACAGAAGCUGGAAAUUCUGAUGUUCCAUUCAAAUCACAAUGGAAAGUCUUGACUUGACCGGCACCCUCAGGAAGACCCCAAGCCUCUAGCAGUACCUGGUAUCAUCUCCAGCAUGUUUAUAGAUGUGGAGGAUUCACUGGGAUAUUGAGAAAUACCAGAGGCGAGUUGUUCUACCGUAGUAAGUCAAUCAGCAUUUACUAAGUGACUACUGUUUACAGAGCACAGUCGGUGAUGUGUUGGGCAAAGAAGAAUGAGUUAGGGCAUAGCUGAGAAAAAAUAAAUCUGUAAUCUCUUCUAAGUGGUCCUUGCAGGCUAGACACACAUGCAAAUGAAAACAGCAAAAUAAAAAGCUGACAAAUAAUUGCAUAGCUGAGUGGUGUGGUAUGUGUGCUGUACAGGCCCAGAGUUGAUGGAGUAGAGAAAACCAGGUGGUACUAUUCAGGUUUCCUGCAUGAGUUUAAAGUAGGAUUGGAAGAAAGAUACAGGAAGAGAGGGUGGAAGUGAGUAAUUUCUGUGAGGCUUGGCCAGCCUGUUGGAUUGCCUGUGAGUUAAUUCCUGAUGGGAGGGUAGUAAAAUAAAGAGUGCUAAGCUAUAGCCUACCAACAGCUGACUUGCCUUCAACUUCUUAGAGAAAUUCAAGUUAUGAAAAGAAGUAAAGCCUAGUUGAGACUUCCCAUAAACAUAAGUG
This 979-nucleotide long non-coding RNA is filed under the name Lynx canadensis (Canada lynx). RNAcentral describes it as "lncRNA (ENSLCNG00005015720.1)". The record is from RNAcentral. Lineage: Eukaryota; Metazoa; Chordata; Mammalia; Carnivora; Felidae.